AGGUGAUAUAAGCAACAAGGACCUCUGAGGAGACCAACACCAGUCAAGCUGCCUAGAAGAGAUACUUUGCAACCUGUCCAGUUGUCUGUAAGAUGGCAACUUCAGGGCUCUAGCUAUCAUGAGCCUGUGCCCAUGCUGGGAUGGCAGCUCCCAUAUGCCAGCAUCCAUGCUGGGAUGGGCUUUUGGUGAUGCAACUGUCUUUGAACUUGGUUCUGCUGUGAGUGACCCCUCAUACUCCUGUAAGUAACCUCAAUAAACUCAUUAGUUUGUC
RNAcentral lists this long non-coding RNA (271 nucleotides) under Rattus norvegicus (Norway rat). RNAcentral's name for it is "long non-coding RNA NONRATT011696". Lineage: Eukaryota; Metazoa; Chordata; Mammalia; Rodentia; Muridae. The record is from RNAcentral.